UUUCAAGGAGAUUUCGAAGAAGCUGACAAUGGCGACUCUGAGCCCGAGUUGAGCUAUUCAGAGGAUGAGAGAAAUUUCACCAAUGUAUAAAUCCUUACGAGGACAAUGUGGAAGCUGACAAGGUGGGCCACCAACAGAGUGGAAGGAGGAGGAUAAGAGGAAGGCCGUCUCAGCCUGACCAACCACAGAUAUCCCCUCCGGGACCAGGAAGAAUACCCCAUUCUGGUGCAAGCAAAUGGAGGCUACAAAGAAGAAAAUCCUUGUAGCAGUUUUAAUAGAUGGCAGAGAUCUGCAAGAAAGUUUACGAACUCCACAAUGUUGCAGAAUUAAUUGAUGCGAUAAUAA
Molecule: long non-coding RNA, 345 nt
Organism: Siniperca chuatsi (mandarin fish)
Lineage: Eukaryota; Metazoa; Chordata; Actinopteri; Centrarchiformes; Sinipercidae
Exons: 3
Source: RefSeq, a predicted model, not a curated record